This 243-nucleotide ribosomal RNA is filed under the name uncultured bacterium. Its description in RNAcentral is "partial 16S ribosomal RNA". It matches the Rfam family "Bacterial small subunit ribosomal RNA", at positions 524 to 776 of the family's 1533-position model. The record is from RNAcentral.
UACGGGGGGAGCAAGCGUUGUUCGGAUUUACUGGGCGUAAAGGCGCGUAGGCGGCCACCGCAAGUCGAUUGUGAAUCUCCGGCUUAACCGGAAAGGUCAACCGAUACUGCGGGCUAGAGUGCAGAAGGGCAACUGGAAUUCUCGGUGUAGCGGUGAAAUGCGUAGAUAUCGAGAGGAACACCUGCGGCGAAGGCGGUUGCUGGCUGACACUGACGCUGAAGUGCGAAGCGUGGGAGCAACAGG